CUUGGUGAGUAUAGCUAUGGGGGUACACCUAGACACAUUCCGAACCUAGAAGUUAAGCCCAUAUACGCAGAAAGUACUUGGUUGGAAGCGACCCGGGAGGAUAUGUAUUUGCCAAGC
Non-coding RNA from Fusobacterium necrophorum subsp. funduliforme 1_1_36S, 117 nucleotides. Lineage: Bacteria; Fusobacteriati; Fusobacteriota; Fusobacteriia; Fusobacteriales; Fusobacteriaceae. The record is from Rfam.